CAGCAGUGGGGAUUGCGGGAAAUGUAGUUUGGAGACUCCGCCCUCCUCGCCAUUUCUGUAAUGGCUGCUUCGUGGAAGGCGGUGUCACGCAGAAGCUCUUAGUCUCAGCAUCCGGAGCUCCAAGAAAGGAGUAUUUCAAGUCAGAUAGAAUUAAACAUAUAUCGUUUCUUUGAGACCUUCAGCCCUCAAGAUCCAGCCACUUGAAGACCCCAGCAUCAUGACCUCAG
This is a long non-coding RNA of Equus quagga, 227 nucleotides long. RefSeq lists it as uncharacterized. The transcript has 3 exons. The record is from RefSeq and is a predicted model, not a curated record. Lineage: Eukaryota; Metazoa; Chordata; Mammalia; Perissodactyla; Equidae.